RNAcentral lists this ribosomal RNA (496 nucleotides) under uncultured bacterium. Its description in RNAcentral is "partial 16S ribosomal RNA". It matches the Rfam family "Bacterial small subunit ribosomal RNA", at positions 29 to 507 of the family's 1533-position model. The record is from RNAcentral.
AUGCACGCUGGCGGCGUGCCUAAUACCUGCAAGUCGAGCGAACGGACGAGAAGCUUGCUUUUCUGAUGUUAGCGGCGGACGGGUGAGUAACACGUGGAUAACCUACCUAUAAGACUGGGAUAACUUCGGGAAACCGGAGCUAAUACCGGAUAAUAUUUUGAACCGCAUGGUUCAAAAGUGAGAGACGGUCUUGCUGUCACUUAUAGAUGGAUCCGCGCUGCAUUAGCUAGUUGGUAAGGUAACGGCUUACCAAGGCAACGAUGCAUAGCCGACCUGAGAGGGUGAUCGGCCACACUGGAACUGAGACACGGUCCAGACUCCUACGGGAGGCAGCAGUAGGGAAUCUUCCGCAAUGGGCGAAAGCCUGACGGAGCAACGCCGCGUGAGUGAUGAAGGUCUUCGGAUCGUAAAACUCUGUUAUUAGGGAAGAACAUAUGUGUAAGUAACUGUGCACAUCUUGACGGUACCUAAUCAGAAAGCCACGGCUAACUACGUG